RNAcentral lists this transfer RNA (73 nucleotides) under Drosophila sechellia. It matches the Rfam family "tRNA". From Rfam's summary of the family: Transfer RNA (tRNA) molecules are approximately 80 nucleotides in length. Lineage: Eukaryota; Metazoa; Arthropoda; Insecta; Diptera; Drosophilidae. The record is from Rfam by way of RNAcentral.
UCCUCGAUAGUAUAGUGGUUAGUAUCCCCCCCCCGUCACGCGGGAGAUCGGGGUUCAAUUCCUUGUCGGGGAU